This 548-nucleotide ribosomal RNA is filed under the name uncultured Aquicella sp. Its description in RNAcentral is "bacterial SSU rRNA". It matches the Rfam family "Bacterial small subunit ribosomal RNA", at positions 355 to 897 of the family's 1533-position model. Lineage: Bacteria; Pseudomonadati; Pseudomonadota; Gammaproteobacteria; Legionellales; Coxiellaceae. The record is from RNAcentral.
UGGGGAAUAUUGGACAAUGGGGGCAACCCUGAUCCAGCGAUGCCGCGUGAGUGAAGAAGGCCUUCGGGUCGUAAAGCUCUUUAGGUUGGGAAGAAGGAUAGAUGAUGAAAUGCAUCUAUUUUGACGGUACCGACAGAAUAAGCACCGGCAAACUCUGUGCCAGCAGCCGCGGUAAUACAGAGGGUGCGAGCGUUAAUCGGAAUUACUGGGCGUAAAGGGCGCGUAGGCGGUUUUGUAAGUGUGAUGUGAAAGCCCCGGGCUUAACCUGGGAAGUGCAUCGCAAACGAUGAAACUGGAGUAUAUGAGAGGGUGGCGGAAUUUCCGGUGUAGCGGUGAAAUGCGUAGAGAUCGGAAGGAACGUCGAUGGCGAAGGCAGCCACCUGGCAUAAUACUGACGCUGAGGCGCGAAAGCGUGGGUAGCGAACAGGAUUAGAUACCCUGGUAGUCCACGCUGUAAACGAUGAGGACUAGAUGUUGGUAGGGGAACCUAUCAGUAUCGAAGCUAACGCGAUAAGUCUUCCGCCUGGGAAGUACGGCCGCAAGGUUGA